RNAcentral lists this ribosomal RNA (417 nucleotides) under Metschnikowia sp. (in: budding yeasts & allies). RNAcentral describes it as "Metschnikowia sp. (in: Fungi) partial 28S ribosomal RNA". The record is from RNAcentral. Lineage: Eukaryota; Fungi; Ascomycota; Pichiomycetes; Serinales; Metschnikowiaceae.
UCAGGGAAUUGUAAUUUAAGAUGUUUGGUCAAGGUAGCAGAGGUUAAGUCCAUGGAACGUGGCGCCACGAGGGUGACAGCCCCGUGAACCUCCUAAAGCCCCUUACCCCAAACCUCAGAGUAGUUGUUUGGGAAUGCAGCUYUAAGUGGGUGGUAAAUUCCAUSUAAAGYUAAAUACCGGCGAGAGACCGAUAGCGAACAAGUACGUGAUGGAAAGAUGAAAAGCACUUGAAAAGAGAGUGAAAAAGUACGUGAAAUUGUUGAAAGGGAAGGGCUUGCAAGCAACAUUAAUUGGGCCAGCAUCGGGGCGGCAGGGAGAAAACCUCCCGGGAAAUGUACCUCUCGAGUGUUAUAGUCCCGGGCAUCAUCUCCCAUUCUGCCCCGAGGCCUGCGUAUCUAGGAUGCUGGCGUAAUGGUU